This is a long non-coding RNA of Diceros bicornis minor, 717 nucleotides long. RefSeq lists it as uncharacterized. NCBI's taxonomy places the organism in Eukaryota, Metazoa, Chordata, Mammalia, Perissodactyla, Rhinocerotidae. The transcript has 6 exons. The record is from RefSeq and is a predicted model, not a curated record.
CGGAACUACAGACCCAUCACCCAGGACCAUAAGUAUACACCUUUGAAGACUUUGGCUUCAACUCCUGACUGGUUGGUCAGAGAAAUACUGAAACCCCACCUCAUUAAAUACCUGAUGGAUAGAACCAAAAAGUGGAUCCUCUACUACCAAGUCUCAAGAGAUGAUUCAGCAUGUGUUUAAUGAACAAUGCUUGAAGCACUGCACACAGAGAAAGCAUCCAUAUUCAUAGGAAGUGUGAAUUCCAGUAUGGACAGAAAACUGGAAGCAGUCCAGUGUGGUCAACCCACCACCAGGUAGCUCACUGAACUCCUCUGGGACAGGUGACAUGUCAGGAACUUAGUGUUGCUGUCCAUUGCUGGAAAAGUGGACUCUCGUCCCUGAAGCUGCAGUUGAAGUCACCACUUGGCUAAGCUUGUGAUAAUCCACUGUCUUUCUCCAAGAUCCAUCUCUCUUCUACACAGGCCGAAUAGAAGUAUAGAAUGGGGAUUCCUGGGAAACAAUUCCCCUAAAUCUUUCAACUCCUUGAUAGUGGCACAAAUCUCUUCAAUCUCUCCAGUUACAAUGCCAAAACUGGAUAGAUUAAAUUCAUCAUUGGAGCUCUGGACCACUCUCCCAGGACUCUAAGUGUGCACCUUUGAAGACUUUAUCUUCACAUCUGAUUGAUCAAGGAUACUUUGAAAGAACGCUACAAGAUCUCCUUUUGCAUCUUCCUGUAAG